Nematostella vectensis (starlet sea anemone) is the source of this 246-nucleotide long non-coding RNA. RefSeq lists it as uncharacterized. The record is from RefSeq and is a predicted model, not a curated record. NCBI's taxonomy places the organism in Eukaryota, Metazoa, Cnidaria, Anthozoa, Actiniaria, Edwardsiidae. The transcript is spliced from 3 exons.
AUCUCAGGCUGACGAGGCUAACCGUGAGCGAUGGGAGGCACUGUGUACCGAGGCGUCGACCGAGGUUUUGAAACUCGACCCAAGUUGCACUGCAGCCAGACUUAUCCAGGCAGUUGCACAGUGUAUUCUUGGAAACACCAGAUCAGCCAGGCGUUCCUUGCAGUGUGUUUGCGACACGAAAUCUGCCGCGUCACUAGUGGCCCGAUACUGGCUCCUUCAGCUUCCGUCUAAAUAAGGAAUUAGUCA